Molecule: long non-coding RNA, 388 nt
Filed under: Mytilus galloprovincialis (Mediterranean mussel)
Lineage: Eukaryota; Metazoa; Mollusca; Bivalvia; Mytilida; Mytilidae
Source: RNAcentral
UUUUUUGGAUAUAGUAAAGACCAUUUAGUUUGAUGCCUAGAAAAUCAAAAUCACCAGGAUAACAUUUAAGUAAAGGAAAUGCCGAUUUAAUAUUCAUUUUUGCCAUUAAAGCCGAAUUCCCCAUUUGUUUAACAAUUUUGACUGCAUUGUCAAAUGAUGAAUAAGUGACCUUGGUAAACUGAGUAUCAAUAAAAUCAUUGAUACUUUCCUUCGGAAGUAAGACAAAUAAGUUAUCAAUCUAAGUCCACCAGUUUUCUUAGGAACUAAACCAAUAGGAGAGCACCGAAGAUUUGAAAUAGGUUUAUGUUUGAAUGGGCCUUCCAUUCGACCUAAUGAUAUCUCAUUAUUCAACUUCUUUUGAGCUUCAAUAGGGUUUUUCAAAACAGAC